CAAAAUCAACCAGAUGCUCCGCAGGGCGCAGCUUUAUACGACCGCAGAGGUUGAACCCUGAACGGUUGGGGCAAGUAUGGACACAACAUUCAAGCUGGAUUCAGCUCUAAAUUUGGAUUGUGAUUAAAUAGUUGACACAGCAUAGGUUUCUGACACAGAAUGAAUGUGGUCUAAUGAACUUAAAAAAAAAUGUUUGCCUUUGAGCAAUUCACUAUGCUGUUGAAUAUUAAUCCUCUCAAAAAAAUGUUUGAAGAAAUUUUCUUUUUAUUUAUGAAAUCUGAAAUGAAAAAAAUUGACCCUCCAAUUUUUUUUUUCACAUCCCCCUUUCCCUUAUUUCAAAACUGAUCUCAAUUCAAAUUUCUAAUGAAGUUUGCAACAAUAACUACUCAUUUAAAUACAUCAUAAAAUUUUUAAAAUGUAAAAAAAGUGCUUGUUAUCACUGAAUGGUAAAGAUUGUUUUAAUCUAUCAGUUGGUAGUAAAAGUGAAUAUACAUUGUAUAUUGUAUAAAACAAUGAUUUAAGUUGAUUCAACUACUAUUCUGGACAAAGAAAGAUAGCUCCAAUUGAAAUCCAAUUGGAAUUUCUUGCUAUUGCACAAUAUUGUGCAAUUAGAUAUUUCUUGCUAUUGUGGAAUACUGUGCAAUUGAAAAUAUUUGCUAUUGCACAAUACUGUGCAAUUGAAGAUUUCUUGCUAUUGCACAAUACUGUGCAAUUGAAGAUUUCUUGCUAUUGCUGAAUUCUGAAAAUUUCUUGCUAUUGCACAAUACUUAAUAUAAUAAUUUUGGAUCCUGAUUUGGACCAACUUGAAAACUGGGCCCAUAAUCAAAAAUCUAAGUACAUGUUUAGAUUCAGCAUAUCACAG
This 862-nucleotide long non-coding RNA is filed under the name Mytilus galloprovincialis (Mediterranean mussel). Lineage: Eukaryota; Metazoa; Mollusca; Bivalvia; Mytilida; Mytilidae. The record is from RNAcentral.